Molecule: ribosomal RNA, 696 nt
Filed under: uncultured Fusobacterium sp.
Lineage: Bacteria; Fusobacteriati; Fusobacteriota; Fusobacteriia; Fusobacteriales; Fusobacteriaceae
Description: bacterial SSU rRNA
Rfam family: Bacterial small subunit ribosomal RNA
Source: RNAcentral
GUUUGGGUGGCGGACGGGUGAGUAACGCGUAAAGAACUUGCCUCACAGUUAGGGACAACAUUUGGAAACGAAUGCUAAUACCUGAUAUUAUGAUUUUAGGGCAUCCUAAGAUUAUGAAAGCUAUAUGCGCUGUGAGAGAGCUUUGCGUCCCAUUAGCUAGUUGGAGAGGUAACGGCUCACCAAGGCGAUGAUGGGUAGCCGGCCUGAGAGGGUGAACGGCCACAAGGGGACUGAGACACGGCCCUUACUCCUACGGGAGGCAGCAGUGGGGAAUAUUGGACAAUGGACCAAAAGUCUGAUCCAGCAAUUCUGUGUGCACGAUGACGUUUUUCGGAAUGUAAAGUGCUUUCAGUUGGGAAGAAAAAAAUGACGGUACCAACAGAAGAAGUGACGGCUAAAUACGUGCCAGCAGCCGCGGUAAUACGUAUGUCACAAGCGUUAUCCGGAUUUAUUGGGCGUAAAGCGCGUCUAGGUGGUUAUGUAAGUCUGAUGUGAAAAUGCAGGGCUCGACUCUGUAUUGCGUUGGAAACUGCAUGACUAGAGUACUGGAGAGGUAAGCGGAACUACAAGUGUAGAGGUGAAAUUCGUAGAUAUUUGUAGGAAUGCCGAUGGGGAAGCCAGCUUACUGGACAGAUACUGACGCUAAAGCGCGAAAGCGUGGGUAGCAAACAGGAUUAGAUACCCUGGUAGUCCACG